GGCCCGGCACCCCGCUCUUCGGUGUCGACGGAGAUGCCUGGGCUGGCGCGGUGCCGAAGAGACUUGCGGACAUGACGACGUCCGUACCAGCCCACCACACAUCGUGUCGACGGUUCAACAAGUAUGCACAGUCGCCCGCUCUUGCCAGGGGCGUGCAGAUUCAGAAGAUGGCGGAAUGCGCCCUGCUGCCACAGGUUCAUCGCAACAUCUCACCUGCCGCGGCACAUGCAGGCUAGUCAAGAAAUGCAUUACGAACCGAUCGCACGGCGCACGCGUGCGACGCAUGCGGCAUUGCAUCUCCUCCAUCCGACCGUGCGAGCCGAUGAGGUGCAGGCGCCGGAAGUGUGACGCGAGCACCCCCGAAGGGCCGCGCCGAGUCCUCCAGGCUCCAGUGGGGAGAGCCUCCAAGUCAUAUUCUAGGAUGCCGCAGCUGGAGGCAGCUCAGGGCGGAGCAUGGCACACAGGCAGGGUGCAGGGUCUUCGAGGGCCCAGCCCUGAGGCUGCCCAGCAUCGUCCCUGAGCUCAUCCGGCAUAUCACCUUGGCCAUCCCCUAUCACCCGCGCGACAGACGUCGAUCGUGGGCGGUGGGUGUGCAUGCGCACAGUUAUGGGCUUGCUCCGUGGUAGAGUGCACACGCUGCGUGAGCCCCAUUGCCCUGCCCCGCACCGCAUGCGGCCAUGCGCCACGCGACAGCCCCUGCGCGGCCCUGUGUCACAGGCAGCCCAUCCGCGUGGUGCGAAGCAGCCGCAGACGCGCAGGUGUCACGGCACAAUGCCCCGACUCCGUCAUCUGAGAGCACGGCCCCUCCGCCUCACACUCUACCCACAACCAGCAGGCGAUGCGUGAGGGCCGGGGGUGGGGCACACGCUUGAGUCGCGUUUACGCUUCGCCCAUCACAUGGGGUGGCACAAGCGUGUGCACGGUCACAGGCCGCUCCGGCGCCCCGCCAUCCACGGCCUGGCCGCCGAGACCAGUGGCGAUACAUCGCGCUGCCCUUCCCCCCCCUCCUCCUACGCCGUAGGGGGCCUAGCCCUGUCACCACCGGAAGUGGCUCUGCAUUGGCAGGGGUGAAGAGGGGAGGGGAGAGACCGCUUGGCUUUCCCACGCACAGAGUUUGUGUGUAUGUGUGUGUGCGCUGGAUGCCAGGCACUGGGGUGAGCUCGUGUCAUGAGGAAUG
This 1177-nucleotide unclassified non-coding RNA is filed under the name Leishmania donovani. RNAcentral's name for it is "gene:unknown". Lineage: Eukaryota; Euglenozoa; Kinetoplastea; Trypanosomatida; Trypanosomatidae. The record is from RNAcentral.